AGCGAACGCUGGCGGCAGGCCUAACACAUGCAAGUCGAACGAACCUUUCGGGGUUAGUGGCGGACGGGUGCGUAACACGUGGGAACGUGCCUUUAGGUUCGGAAUAACUCAGGGAAACUUGUGCUAAUACCGAAUGUGCCCUUCGGGGGAAAGAUUUAUCGCCUUUAGAGCGGCCCGCGUCUGAUUAGCUCGUUUGUUGAGGUAAUGGCUCACCAAGGCGACGAUCAGUAGCUGGUCUGAGAGGAUGAUCAGCCACAUUGGGACUGAGACACGGCCCAAACUCCUACGGGAGGCAGCAGUGGGGAAUCUUGCGCAAUGGGCGAAAGCCUGACGCAGCCAUGCCGCGUGAAUGAUGAAGGUCUUAGGAUUGUAAAAUUCUUUCACCGGGGACGAUAAUGACGGUACCCGGAGAAGAAGCCCCGGCUAACUUCGUG
Molecule: ribosomal RNA, 434 nt
Filed under: uncultured bacterium
Lineage: Bacteria
Description: partial 16S ribosomal RNA
Rfam family: Bacterial small subunit ribosomal RNA
Source: RNAcentral